Molecule: long non-coding RNA, 1392 nt
Organism: Cyprinus carpio carpio
Lineage: Eukaryota; Metazoa; Chordata; Actinopteri; Cypriniformes; Cyprinidae
Source: Ensembl
GAACAACAUGAAGGUGAGUAAAUGUUAACAACAGAAUGCAUUUUUGGUUGAAGUAUCCCUUUAAGGAUCUUGAACAUAUCCAGUGGUAACAUAUGGUCUUUCUCCAAUGUUUAUCCAAAGUCAUGUUUAAAUAUAGAGUGAUAAAUAACAGAAGUGAAUCAUUCAGCUUUCCAGCAUUCUAAAAGCUCAGUGGAGAAACAAUGAACUCCGUUUCAACUCCUUGCACUUUUGACGUGUCAAUAUGAAUAAAGUUCAAUCUUCUGAAAGAUGUAACCUGUGAAAGACGCUUGUGUGGAGUUUCUGUGGCUAAAAUGAAGUGAGACAGAGCUCCACUAGUAUGUUUCCAUAAAAACAAAUUUUCUACAUCAAGCAAUCAGUAAAUCAGGCUUACAUUAUGCUGGACAAGAUACAAUGGAAAAACACAAAUGGUAAGAAAUAAGUAAUGAAAUCCUUCAUUUUUCUUUUUCUUCAUUGUAGUUGGACAAAGUACAUGUCUUUAAGGAACCCCCUUUUGAGCUUAGCCUGUCUAGACUCAUUGUCCAUCUGCCCACCGCCUGGAGAUGUGAAAUAUUGAUUAGCUCAUUCACCCACAUGAUCCAAUGCUGGCUUCUCCUGUCAGGCUUAUUUAAACUCUCACCCAUGAAGGGGCUCCCUUGUGAAGGCCAGUUGAAACCAGCAAUCAGCAAGGAACCUGAAGCAGGGGCAAAGCUCAGAUCCAGAUCAGACAUAUCAUGAAAAGAAAAUCUCAUUUUGCCAGUUCCUCUUAAAUCUCACCUUCUCUCUGGCUGUCCCUGACCAUCCUGUGAACACCGUUUCCAGGGCAACAUCCCUGGUGGCCAGCAGAUGCAGAGAACAAUGCCUGUCCAAAGCAGAGGGACCUCUUCAGAAUCUGCAAUGUCAAGACAGGUACCAGAUGUUCUAUUUCACACAUUUUUUUUCCAAUCAAUUAAUGCAUUUUCAGAUAGAUAGAUAGAUAGAUAGAUAGAUAGAUAGAUAGAUAGAUAGAUAGAUAGAUAGGAAAAGUUUAAAUCAGUGUUAUAAGGUUGUCUUGCAUUGUACAAAUUCAGACCCUGCUGCAAGCAAUCUCGACAGAUUUAUGUGCUUUUACAGAAAUGUGUUCGGUUCCUUGAUUUCUGUAAUGUGUUUCUCAGCCGAGGAACAAAGGGCUUAGCAAUGUAAUUCAGUGAGAGCAGGAAAGAUGUCUAGAGCUGAGCUCUGUGCUACAUGCAUUAAACAUGACAUGUAGGGCUAUGUGUAUGGUAGUAGCCGGGACUUAAAACGAAAAUGUUCUUCACAGGUGAAGACAGGCUGUAUUCUGUGCUAAGUCGCACAUCACUGAGGAGAUUUAAACUUUCGUUUAAUCUGUGACAGGAAGAAUAAGGCUGCAAAACA